GCUGCGGGACGGCCCGCAGCUUCCAGCCCCAUUUGCAGGACGGCCUGC
This 48-nucleotide non-coding RNA is filed under the name Burkholderiales bacterium. RNAcentral describes it as "Guanidine-II sequence". It matches the Rfam family "Guanidine-II riboswitch aptamer (mini-ykkC)". Rfam says of the family: Simpler in structure and has fewer highly conserved nucleotide positions than the ykkC-yxkD leader. The record is from RNAcentral. RNAcentral also lists the same sequence under 1 other name. Lineage: Bacteria; Pseudomonadati; Pseudomonadota; Betaproteobacteria; Burkholderiales.